This 706-nucleotide ribosomal RNA is filed under the name uncultured Bacillus sp. Its description in RNAcentral is "bacterial SSU rRNA". It matches the Rfam family "Bacterial small subunit ribosomal RNA", at positions 412 to 1106 of the family's 1533-position model. The record is from RNAcentral. Lineage: Bacteria; Bacillati; Bacillota; Bacilli; Caryophanales; Bacillaceae.
AGGUCUUCGGAUCGUAAAGCUCUGUUGUUAGGGAAGAACAAGUAUCGUUCGAAUAGGGCGGUACCUUGACGGUACCUAACCAGAAAGCCACGGCUAACUACGUGCCAGCAGCCGCGGUAAUACGUAGGUGGCAAGCGUUAUCCGGAAUUAUUGGGCGUAAAGCGCGCGCAGGCGGUCCUUUAAGUCUGAUGUGAAAGCCCACGGCUCAACCGUGGAGGGUCAUUGGAAACUGGGGGACUUGAGUGCAGAAGAGGAGAGUGGAAUUCCACGUGUAGCGGUGAAAUGCGUAGAGAUGUGGAGGAACACCAGUGGCGAAGGCGACUCUCUGGUCUGUAACUGACGCUGAGGCGCGAAAGCGUGGGGAGCGAACAGGAUUAGAUACCCUGGUAGUCCACGCCGUAAACGAUGAGUGCUAAGUGUUAGAGGGUUUCCGCCCUUUAGUGCUGCAGCUAACGCAUUAAGCACUCCGCCUGGGGAGUACGGCCGCAAGGCUGAAACUCAAAGGAAUUGACGGGGGCCCGCACAAGCGGUGGAGCAUGUGGUUUAAUUCGAAGCAACGCGAAGAACCUUACCAGGUCUUGACAUCCUCUGCCAACCCUAGAGAUAGGGCGUUCCCCUUCGGGGGACAGAGUGACAGGUGGUGCAUGGUUGUCGUCAGCUCGUGUCGUGAGAUGUUGGGUUAAGUCCCGCAACGAGCGCAACCCUU